GUCGCCGAGCCGCCGGCGGGCUGCCUCCGCGCUGUCGCCGAGGACCGGGUCGAGGCCGUCGACGCGGCGUUCGAAGGUGCCGGGGCGGUA
This 90-nucleotide transfer RNA is filed under the name Paractinoplanes rishiriensis. RNAcentral describes it as "Actinoplanes rishiriensis tRNA-Asp". The record is from RNAcentral. Lineage: Bacteria; Bacillati; Actinomycetota; Actinomycetes; Micromonosporales; Micromonosporaceae.